Molecule: ribosomal RNA, 454 nt
Filed under: uncultured bacterium
Lineage: Bacteria
Description: partial 16S ribosomal RNA
Rfam family: Bacterial small subunit ribosomal RNA
Source: RNAcentral
GAUGAACGCUGACAGAAUGCUUAACACAUGCAAGUCAACUUGAACUUCGGUUUGGGUGGCGGACGGGUGAGUAACGCGUAAAGAGCUUGCCUCACAGAUAGGGACAACAUUUGGAAACGAAUGCUAAUACCUGAUAUUAUGAUUAUAUGGCAUCGUAUAAUUAUGAAAGCUAUAUGCGCUGUGAGAGAGCUUUGCGUCCCAUUAGCUAGUUGGAGAGGUAACGGCUCACCAAGGCGAUGAUGGGUAGCCGGCCUGAGAGGGUGAUCGGCCACAAGGGGACUGAGACACGGCCCUUACUCCUACGGGAGGCAGCAGUGGGGAAUAUUGGACAAUGGACCAAGAGUCUGAUCCAGCAAUUCUGUGUGCACGAUGAAGUUUUUCGGAAUGUAAAGUGCUUUCAGUUGGGAAGAAAAAAAUGACGGUACCAACAGAAGAAGUGACGGCUAAAUACGUG